ACGAACGCUGGCGGCGCGCCUUACGCAUGCAAGUCGCACGGACCUUCGGGUUAGUGGCGGACGGCUGAGUAACGCGUAGGCAACCUAUCUAGUGGUGGGGGACAACUCGCCGAAAGGCGAGCUAAUACCGCAUGUGUUCCCGGUGUGAGACUCACCGGGAGGAAAGCCUUCGGGCGCCACUUGAGGGGCCUGCGUCCUAUCAGCUAGUUGGUGAGGUAACGGCUCACCAAGGCUAAGACGGGUAGCUGGUCUGAGAGGACGACCAGCCUCACUGGAACUGAGACACGGUCCAGACACCUACGGGUGGCAGCAGUCGAGAAUUUUUCACAAUGGGCGAAAGCCUGAUGGAGCGACGCCGCGUGGGGGAUGAAGGGCUUCGGCCCGUAAACCCCUGUCAUUUGCGAACAAACCUUUUCACCUAACACGUGGAGAGCUGAUGGUAGCGAAAGAGGAAGGGACGGCUAACUCUGUGCCAGCAGCCGCGGUAAUACAGAGGUCCCGAGCGUUGUUCGGAUUCACUGGGCGUAAAGGGUGCGUAGGUGGUCGGGUAAGUCUGAUGUGAAAUCUCCGAGCUCAACUCGGAAAUGGCAUUGGAUACUAUUCGGCUGGAGGGUUGGAGGGGGGACUGGAAUUCUCGGUGUAGCAGUGAAAUGCGUAGAUAUCGAGAGGAACACCAGUGGCGAAGGCGAGUCCCUGGACAACUCCUGACACUGAGGCACGAAAGCUAGGGGAGCAAACAGGAUUAGAUACCCUGGUAGUCCUAGCCGUAAACGGUGCAUAUUUGCUGUAAAAGGAAUCGACCCCUUUUGUGGCGAAGCUAACGCGAUAAAUAUGCCGCCUGGGAAAUACGGUCGCAAGAUAAAAACUCAAAGAAAUUGACGGGGGCCUGCACAAGCGGUGGAGUAUGUGGCUUAAUUCGAUGCAACGCGAAGAACCUUACCUGGCCUUGACAUGUGUCUAGUAGAAGGGUGAAAGCCUGACGAGAUAGCAAUAUCAGGAUACACAGGUGCUGCAUGGCUGUCGUCAGCUCGUGUCGUGAGAUGUUGGGUUAAGUCCCGCAACGAGCGCAACCCUUAUGUCCUGUUGCCACUCGAACGAGAGUUCGAAGCACUCUGGACAGACUGCCUCGCUUAAACGAGGAGGAAGGUGGGGAUGACGUCAAGUCAGUAUGGCCCUUACGGCCAGGGCUGCACACGUACUACAAUGCCCGGCACAAAGGGAAGCAAGACUGUAAAGUGGAGCAAAUCCCAAAAACCGGGCCCAGUUCAGAUUGUCGUCUGCAACUCGACGGCAUGAAGUUGGAAUCGCUAGUAAUGGCGCAUCAGCUACGGCGCCGUGAUACGUUCCCAGGCAUUGUACUCACCG
RNAcentral lists this ribosomal RNA (1365 nucleotides) under uncultured bacterium. Its description in RNAcentral is "partial 16S ribosomal RNA". It matches the Rfam family "Bacterial small subunit ribosomal RNA", at positions 29 to 1392 of the family's 1533-position model. The record is from RNAcentral.